Long non-coding RNA from Aedes aegypti (yellow fever mosquito), 838 nucleotides. RefSeq lists it as uncharacterized. NCBI's taxonomy places the organism in Eukaryota, Metazoa, Arthropoda, Insecta, Diptera, Culicidae. The transcript is spliced from 2 exons. The record is from RefSeq and is a predicted model, not a curated record.
UUAAGGAGGCCCACAGAAACAUUGAGAUUGAUGUUUCGCUACACGAUACCGAAUCCAAUAGCGAUCGAUAAAUGUCGGUUUCACACACUCAUCCAAUGUUCAGCCGAUGGGCUCCGAAAGAAAUUGAAAUAAAAGAGAUGAUCAGUCUAUUCUGAUACUUCGAACUAAACAGCUCAGUUUCAUCUCUUUAGAAUCUACAUCACAUUGUCUCGGCCCAAUAAUAUCUAUAGUUUAUUAAAAGUAUUAAAACACGAAAUCGCGGCGACGAGGAUGGGAUUAUUAACUUACCAAUCGCGUGCAACAGUAACGGUUAAUCUGCGAUAUUAUUUUUCGGCUGUUUAAACCAUCCCAGCAGUAUGAGCCAUUUGAGAGUAAGCGCAAAGGUGCGGCCGAUAAGGUACGAAUGCGGCAAAGAUAUUGUGGUUCAUCUGAGGCCUUCCGUCACGUCCAAAUGCAUUAGAAGAUUGAGACUAUGCGAAACCAAGGAUAUCUCAAAUAAGAAUUCGAUCGUAGUAAAUGUACAAGCAGAACAAACUCCGAAAAAUAAAAUAUUUCGCUGUGAUUAUUGUCACCAUGUACUGAGAGAUUUAACCAAAAUAUUGUUUGUUCAAUUUAUAGUUUACAUUGUUAAGUGUUCGUUUAUACAAAGAAUUAUGUACUAUUUAUUUGACAAAUGUCAAGUUCUGAUAAUUAUAUUCUUAAUUUUUAAAGGGGGAAGAACUGUAGUGAUCUUCGCUACACGAUACUCAUGCAACACACAUACAAUGUUCAGCCGAUGGGCUCCGAAAGAAAUUGAAAUAAAAGAGAUGAUCAGUCUAUUCUGAUACUUCGAACUAAA